This 290-nucleotide ribosomal RNA is filed under the name uncultured soil bacterium. RNAcentral describes it as "partial 16S ribosomal RNA". It matches the Rfam family "Bacterial small subunit ribosomal RNA", at positions 26 to 310 of the family's 1533-position model. The record is from RNAcentral.
AGAGCGAACGCUGGCGGUAGGCCUAACACAUGCAAGUCGAACGGCAGCACAGUGGUAGCAAUACCAUGGGUGGCGAGUGGCGGACGGGUGAGGAAUACAUCGGAAUCUACCUUUUUCGUGGGGGAUAACGUAGGGAAACUUACGCUAAUACCGCAUACGUCCUUCGGGGGAAAGCCGGGGAUCGCAAGACCUGGCGCGGAUAGAUGAGCCGAUGUCGGAUUAGCUAGUUGGUGAGGUAAGUGGCGUCACCAAGGCGACGAUCCGUAGCUGGUCGUGAGAGGAGUGAGUCA